GCCCCUAUAGCUCAGUUGGAUAGAGCACAGGAUUCCUAAUCCUGGCGCCGCGCGUUCGAAUCGCGCUAGGGGCACCA
This 77-nucleotide transfer RNA is filed under the name Deltaproteobacteria bacterium. RNAcentral's name for it is "tRNA-Arg". It matches the Rfam family "tRNA". From Rfam's summary of the family: Transfer RNA (tRNA) molecules are approximately 80 nucleotides in length. The record is from RNAcentral. Lineage: Bacteria; Pseudomonadati; Myxococcota; Myxococcia.